This 402-nucleotide long non-coding RNA is filed under the name Solanum tuberosum (potato). RNAcentral's name for it is "long non-coding RNA (STUB_LNC005970)". Lineage: Eukaryota; Viridiplantae; Streptophyta; Magnoliopsida; Solanales; Solanaceae. The record is from RNAcentral.
GCGUAUCCAAGGAGGGGUCACCGGGUUCACAUGAACCCAUGCUCCCCUCCCGAGAUCAUAUAUAGUAGUGUUAUAUUUUUGAAAAAUAUUGAAAUAUAGAUGUGUGAACCCAUAUUCGGAGUAUCAUAUAAUGCGAUGAUGACUGGGUGCACCUCUCUACGUGAGGUUAGAAAUUUGAAUUUUAUAUUCAUCUUGUUUUAUUUUUCUUUGUAAAAUUAGAUAACACCUCUCUAAAUGGUUAUUGGUAACACUUUUGACAUUUUAAUUAGUUUUGGACCUAUAAUAUUAAUUUUAACGGUUUUCAGUAAUAAGAACCUAAAUGUCCAACCGAUCAAAUUUAUAUUUUAGAUCAAUCUUUUUGUAAUAAUGCACCCAUCAUCCCGAAAUCCUGGAUACGCCUCU